RNAcentral lists this ribosomal RNA (462 nucleotides) under Triticum aestivum (bread wheat). Its description in RNAcentral is "partial small subunit ribosomal RNA". Lineage: Eukaryota; Viridiplantae; Streptophyta; Magnoliopsida; Poales; Poaceae. The record is from RNAcentral.
AUGCACAGUAGCUGUUCUUCUGAGUUGUGCUCCCUACAGGUUACCUCCGCCCUGCUUGCCGGAGCGGUCGAGGCCACAGUGAUCUGUGCUAAAGUCAUCCAAGGUCGAUGGCCCAAAAACCUGGGAAUCCGCAUUGUUGCCCGCUCCGCCAGCAUAGAUGAGGAUUUUGUACUGCUUGAUGCUCGAGAUGGGACGUUUCGUGUGGAUCUAGCCGAUGGCAUCAUCGCCCUCUGUAGACAUGUGGUAUGUGUGGAAGAAGAUGGAAGGCUGAAGCUUUGUAUAGAGGCCUACAGCAAGAGGAGUGGAUGCAUGUAUGAAAAAUCCGAUGUUACCGAGUUGGUCCCCAAGAGAUCCUCCGCCAGUCUUGGCAGAUGCAAGCUUGCCUUCUGCACGGUUCAGUUCACCGUAGGUUGGUCGUGCCUCGUGGCCAGAGUGGAUGACCUGAUGACCUAUGGCAUCUGA